RNAcentral lists this ribosomal RNA (264 nucleotides) under uncultured bacterium. Its description in RNAcentral is "partial 16S ribosomal RNA". It matches the Rfam family "Bacterial small subunit ribosomal RNA", at positions 793 to 1055 of the family's 1533-position model. The record is from RNAcentral.
GUCCACACCGUAAACGUUGGGCGCUAGGUGUGGGACUCAUUCCACGAGUUCCGUGCCGCAGCUAACGCAUUAAGCGCCCCGCCUGGGGAGUACGGCCGCAAGGCUAAAACUCAAAGGAAUUGACGGGGGCCCGCACAAGCGGCGGAGCAUGCGGAUUAAUUCGAUGCAACGCGAAGAACCUUACCUGGGUUUGACAUAUACGAGAAGCCUCUAGAGAUAGAGGUCUCUUUGGACACUCGUAUACAGGUGGUGCAUGGCUGUCGU